This 213-nucleotide ribosomal RNA is filed under the name uncultured bacterium. RNAcentral describes it as "partial 16S ribosomal RNA". It matches the Rfam family "Bacterial small subunit ribosomal RNA", at positions 1288 to 1500 of the family's 1533-position model. The record is from RNAcentral.
UCAGUUCAGACUGCAGGCUGCAACUCGCCUGCACGAAGUCGGAAUUGCUAGUAAUCGUAGGUCAGCAUACUACGGUGAAUACGUUCCUGGGCCUUGUACACACCGCCCGUCAAACCAUGAGAGUUGGCAACACCCGAAGUCGGUAGUCUAACCGCAAGGAGGACGCCGCCGAAGGUGGGGUUGAUGAUUAGGGUUAAGUCGUAACAAGGUAGC